GGGAUGUUAGCUCAAUUGGGAGAGCGCCUCGUUUACACCGAGGAGGGAAAAGGAUCGUAACCUUUACGUCCCA
Molecule: transfer RNA, 73 nt
Filed under: Chitinophagaceae bacterium
Lineage: Bacteria; Pseudomonadati; Bacteroidota; Chitinophagia; Chitinophagales; Chitinophagaceae
Description: tRNA-Val
Rfam family: tRNA
About the family: Transfer RNA (tRNA) molecules are approximately 80 nucleotides in length. Their secondary structure includes four short double-helical elements and three loops (D, anti-codon, and T loops). Further hydrogen bonds mediate the characteristic L-shaped molecular structure. tRNAs have two regions of fundamental functional importance: the anti-codon, which is responsible for specific mRNA codon recognition, and the 3' end, to which the tRNAs corresponding amino acid is attached (by aminoacyl-tRNA synthetases). tRNAs cope with the degeneracy of the genetic code in two manners: having more than one tRNA (with a specific anti-codon) for a particular amino acid; and 'wobble' base-pairing, i.e. permitting non-standard base-pairing at the 3rd anti-codon position.
Source: RNAcentral